AGGCCGGCGCUCUCACCAAGGAGAAGGCCAUGUUCAGUUCGAGCGCGAAGAUCGUGAUGCCCAAUGGCGAGAAGCCGGACGAGUUCGAGUCCGGCAUCUCCCAGGCUCUCCUUGAGUUGGAGAUGAACUCCGACCUCAAAGCCCAGCUGAGGGAGCUGAAUAUCACGGCCGCCAAGGAAAUUGAAGUUGGCGGUGGUCGGAAAGCUAUUAUCAUCUUUGUUCCCGUUCCUCAGCUGAAAUCUUUCCAGAAAAUCCAAGUCCGGCUAGUGCGUGAAUUGGAGAAAAAGUUCAGUGGGAAGCACGUUUGUUUUUACCGCUCAGAGGAGAAUUCCGCCUAAGCCAACUCAAAAAAGCCGUACAAAAAAUAAGCAAAAGCGUCCCAGGAGCCGCACUUUGACAGACCCGUGCACGACGCGAUCCUGGAGGACUUGGUUUUCCCAAGUGAAAUUGUGGGCAAGAGAAUCUGUGUGAAACUGGAUGGCAGCUGGCUGAUCAAGGUUCAUUUGGAUAAAGCACAGCAGAACAACGUGGAACACAAGGUUGAAACUUUUUCUGGCGUCUAUAAGAAGCUUACAGGCAAGGAUGAUAACUUUGAGUUCCUAGAGUUUCAGUUGUAAACAAAAAUGAUUAAAUAAAACUUUCACAGUAAAAAAA
Leptonychotes weddellii (Weddell seal) is the source of this 654-nucleotide non-coding RNA. NCBI's taxonomy places the organism in Eukaryota, Metazoa, Chordata, Mammalia, Carnivora, Phocidae. The record is from RefSeq and is a predicted model, not a curated record.